AGUGAACGCUGGCGGCAGGCCUAACACAUGCAAGUCGAACGAGUGGCGGACGGGUGAGGAAUGGAUGGGGAGCUGCCCGAUGGAGGGGGAUAACUACUGGAAACGGUAGCUAAUACCGAAUAGCAUCAGAUGAACCUAUAUGGGAUUAGCUGGUAGUGAAGGUAACGGCUUACCUAGGCGACGAUCCCUAGCUGGUCCGAGAGGAUGAUCAGUCACACGGGUACUGAGACACUGCGCCGACUCCUACGGGAGGCAGCAGUUGGGAAUAUUGCACAAUCGGCGCAAGCCUGAUGCAGCCAUGCCGCGUGUAUGACGAAGGCCUUCGGGUUGUAAAGUACUUUCAUUCGGGAGGCGUUACCUACCGAAGAAGCACCGGCUAACUCCGUGCCAGCAGCCGCGGUAAUAC
Molecule: ribosomal RNA, 406 nt
Filed under: uncultured bacterium
Lineage: Bacteria
Description: partial 16S ribosomal RNA
Rfam family: Bacterial small subunit ribosomal RNA
Source: RNAcentral